GGACUACAAGGGUAUCUAAUCCUGUUUGCUCCCCACGCUUUCGCGCCUCAGCGUCAGUAUCGGACCAGGUCGCCGCCUUCGCCACCGGUGUUCUUCCCAAUAUCUACGAAUUUCACCUCUACACUGGGAAUUCCACGACCCUCUUCCGAACUCAAGCCUGCACGUAUUGAACGCAGCCCCCAGGUUAAGCCCAGGAAUUUCACGCCCAACUGUGCAAACCGCCUACGCGCCCUUUACGCCCAGUCAAUCCGAGCAACGCUAGCCCCCUUCGUAUUACCGCGGCUGCUGGCAC
RNAcentral lists this ribosomal RNA (292 nucleotides) under uncultured Alphaproteobacteria bacterium. RNAcentral describes it as "partial 16S ribosomal RNA". Lineage: Bacteria; Pseudomonadati; Pseudomonadota; Alphaproteobacteria. The record is from RNAcentral.